UUUCUUGACUGCAUCUGAAUUCACAGGACGAGUGAAAUCCUCCCCAUCCAUUGUUGUAAGCAUCAAAGCCCCGCCUGAAAAGGCUCUCUUAACAACAUAUGGACCUUCAUAAUUUGGAGUCCACUUGCCCCUGGAAUUGGGCGCGAAAGACAAAACUUUCUUGAGCAUAAGGUCACCUUCUCGGAACGCACGAGGCUUGACUUUCUUAUCGAAUGCUUUCUUCAUUCUCUG
RNAcentral lists this long non-coding RNA (231 nucleotides) under Lathyrus oleraceus (garden pea). RNAcentral describes it as "Pisum sativum (pea) long non-coding RNA (PSAT_LNC006560)". Lineage: Eukaryota; Viridiplantae; Streptophyta; Magnoliopsida; Fabales; Fabaceae. The record is from RNAcentral.